AGGGUUAGCGAUGAUUAUAAAACUAAUUUCUCAUUCUAAGUUACUUAAUUUGAACAUGACAAAUCUCUUAUUAUAACCAUAGAAUUUUAGCUCC
RNAcentral lists this small nucleolar RNA (94 nucleotides) under Theobroma cacao (cacao). RNAcentral's name for it is "Small nucleolar RNA snoR8a". It matches the Rfam family "Small nucleolar RNA snoR8a". Lineage: Eukaryota; Viridiplantae; Streptophyta; Magnoliopsida; Malvales; Malvaceae. The record is from Rfam by way of RNAcentral.